This 85-nucleotide non-coding RNA is filed under the name Acetobacterium bakii. RNAcentral's name for it is "c-di-GMP sequence". It matches the Rfam family "c-di-GMP-I riboswitch aptamer". Rfam says of the family: GEMM was predicted in a large-scale screen for bacterial structured RNA regulatory elements. Genes associated with GEMM are involved in a diverse array of functions, including chemotaxis regulation, signal transduction, secretion and chitin. The record is from Rfam by way of RNAcentral. Lineage: Bacteria; Bacillati; Bacillota; Clostridia; Eubacteriales; Eubacteriaceae.
UUGAAUAGAUGGCAUACUUACCGAAAAGUAAGGACGCAAAACUAGAGGGUCUAAAUAAUUUAUUAUAUGACAGCCAGUUGCAAAG